RNAcentral lists this ribosomal RNA (252 nucleotides) under uncultured bacterium. RNAcentral's name for it is "partial 16S ribosomal RNA". It matches the Rfam family "Bacterial small subunit ribosomal RNA", at positions 524 to 776 of the family's 1533-position model. The record is from RNAcentral.
UACAGAGGUCUCAAGCGUUGUUCGGAUUCAUUGGGCGUAAAGGGUGCGUAGGCGGCGCGGUAAGUCGGGUGUGAAAUCUCGGAGCUUAACUCCGAAACUGCAUUCGAUACUGCGGUGCUUGAGGACUGGAGAGGAGACUGGAAUUUACGGUGUAGCAGUGAAAUGCGUAGAGAUCGUAAGGAAGACCAGUGGCGAAGGCGGGUCUCUGGACAGUUCCUACACUGAGGCACGAAGGCCAGGGGAGCAAACGGG